This is a long non-coding RNA of Mesocricetus auratus (golden hamster), 795 nucleotides long. RefSeq lists it as uncharacterized. The record is from RefSeq and is a predicted model, not a curated record. NCBI's taxonomy places the organism in Eukaryota, Metazoa, Chordata, Mammalia, Rodentia, Cricetidae. The transcript is spliced from 2 exons.
AAAGGGGUUCUGUGACGUCUCAAGUCCAUCAUCGGAGCACUGACACAAGCUUUAGGUUUAAAUAGAAGAAGAAUUUGGGCAGGGGGAUGUGAGGACAUCAGAGACCAUUGUCUGAAGGUGGCUGGGGUGGGGGUUGAUGGGAUGGGAGGCUUUGCUAUUCUCAGAAUCCACGAGCUUGGGACAAUGACUACAGAACUUCUGGUGCGUUUCGGGGCUUUGGAACAGGAUAUUGUAAAAGUUGAAGUGUCUGGCAGAGAGUGGCUGCCUGAAGAAGGGGAGUCUGAAAGACCAGAGGAAGGAAUGAAUACCUGUUGAUUCUGGAGACAGGAAACGCCUCCAGCUUUGUUCCACUGGUGAUUCAGGGCCCACUGAGAGCUCAGUCUCAACUGCCUCCUGCCAGCCCCAGCAUCCCAUGCAAUGGAGUGGAAGGGUGGGAAGUCCCCUAGAGCAGCAUAAACUGAUCAUCCAGCUACCCACCCCUUCCCAGCGAGGCCUGACUGUGGGUGGGGAGGUCUGAGUUGAGGGCUCCCGCCCUUCUCCCCCUUCUCCAAGGAAGACGACAAACUUGUGACUCAGGGAAAGGCAGAAGUUGAGUCAGCCAAGCCACAAGCUGUGGAAAAAAUGAAGUUUCCUGGAGGCCUUUUCUGCUUCUUUGGCUAAAAAUCCUUUCUGGGAAAAGCUGGUUUCCAGACUGCAGGAACUAGGGAGUGAGCAAAGACCCAGGCUCAGCAGGCCCAAGCUAGUCUUUCUUUCUUUUUUUUCAAAACCCUGUGAGAAAAAAAUGCCUGGAAUUUU